AUGGCCACCCUCUUCUCCACCGCGCUCUCGCACCACUUCAUCCCUCUCCUCCGCUGCCUCCUUUUCCUGCGGCCCGCUGCACGCCGUGUCGGCACUGCUGGCAGCGCGGAGGGGGCUCCUGCUGCCCGUGGCCAUGGGGGACGCCGGGGGGGACAGAGCGAGGGCGCCGGGGGAGGAUCUGCCAUUCCCGGUGAUGGCGUGACAGAGGAGGAGCUGAGCUGUUGUGCGCGCCGGACAAGGAGCUCAAAUCUUUCUCCGGGAGGCAACGCACAGGAAGUAGCAGCUGAGCCAGAGGAGACGCAUGGGAGGGAACGUGCCGUUGCCGUCCGCCUAACACCCCCGCUUCUUCUCCGCCGUCGGUGUCGUCCCCAUGAUUCAGCUGUUCUCUCACCAGAUCUGAAUGAACAGGGCAUCUCAAAGGUUCAUUCUCUAGCUAAUGGGUGCAUCUGCAUCGGGCAACCCAACGUCUUCACCAUUAUUGAGCUGAUCAAUCUUCACAUCUAA
RNAcentral lists this ribosomal RNA (504 nucleotides) under Triticum aestivum (bread wheat). RNAcentral describes it as "partial small subunit ribosomal RNA". Lineage: Eukaryota; Viridiplantae; Streptophyta; Magnoliopsida; Poales; Poaceae. The record is from RNAcentral.